UUUCUACAAAAAGUAUUAUACCGACUUUCAAACCUAAGUAAAAAAAUCAAUUGUACUGAACAUCAAUAUUAACUAAAAAACAAUCAACUAUACGUCUCCAAAAUUCUUAGCCAAAACACGCUUUCAAAAGCCAAUUAAUACCAACUCAAAAAUAAAAAUAACUUUACACUCAAAAUAUUAUUUUGUUAUAUUUUUAGUGAAUAAUUUCGACCACAUAAAAAUAAAACAAUUAUUUAUUAAAAAAAUGAAGAAAGUCAAAUAAGGGGCGGGUGUCACAAGAAAUUCAAACAAUGAUCAGAUGAAAAUGUCUAUCAAGAGCACUAUUAGAUUAAACCAGUACCUAUAAUAAAGUUUACCUUCCCAAAUGCAACGAUCAAGUUGUCCAUCACAUUGAUGAAAGGAUUAUCAACAACUAAACUCUCAAAAUAGCUAUGAUUUUUUAUACAAGGUAUACCUAACAUAAAACGCUGAAAAAUAAAAAUCUAGAUCUAAGACUACUACCAUCGGACACUCAGUGUCACCGCAUAAGACAAACAAAUGGAAUUACUAAUUUAAAUGGAAAUUGGAGCAAAUUUGGUGACUUUGGGCGGUUCACCGCCUUUGAGGCGUGAGAAAGUCAUGCUUAUGUGGCACCCUUUAAUUAGGUGUCACUUAAUUAAAUAUAUAGUUUUAAAUACUCUUUUUUAAUAGUUUAUUGUAAUAUAAAAAAAAUUAAAAAUUAGUAAAAAAAUUCUAUAUAUAGACUUCAAAUUUUUUUCAUCAACACCACUUCAAUAUCCUUAUUUUCUCAGCAAUCUUUCAAUAGCCUUAUUUUUUAUCUUCAUUUUUUCUUCAUUUUGAAGCCAUGGAUCCAAAUGACCCCAAUUAUUAUUCAACUUUUGGAUCUUUUUUUCACUAUUUUUCAAAUCCAGAAGAUGUUCAAAAUUCUCAGUACUACGAGAAUUCUCAAUUUUUUUCACACCUCAACCAACUUUCUACCCCUCACGAACAUCUCAUUUCACAAAAUAUCUCUCGGAAUUUAUUUCAAGAUGUCGAACACCCAAAGAAAAAGCUCACUCAAUUUAUGAAGCAGGUGGCAGUAAAUUCCAAGACUUGGUUGUUUUCAAUGAUGUUAUAAGUAAACAUCCGAAGUGGAACUUUGCAAUCAAUGAAGUGGGUGAUGAUCAAGAAAGUGGUGGCAGCACAAAAAGGUCUAAGACUUCUGAAGAUGGUGAUUACUUUAUCCCGUCCAAUCCAUAAACUCCAACUACUGGCGGAUCUACUAUGUCUCGUCCUACAGGUAGAGAUGAAGCUAAAAGGAAAGGAAAAGGUAAGGCAAUUGCAUCUGAAUCAAAUGAAAUGUAUGAAGAAAUCCGUGCAUUGAGACUUAGUAGAGAUCAUGAAAAUGAGUUAAUGACUGCUAAAAUUGAAUUGGAACGUGAAAAGUUUAAAAUGAAUUCUCUGAAUAUGGAAAAGAAAAUGUUGGUCGCAUUGUUGGCGAAGGACCAUUUGUCUGCAGAAGAGGAAGAGAUGAAAAGCCACUUCAUUGCCAUUUUAUUUCCGAAGUAGUUUUGCAAUUAUGUAAUUUUAAUUUAUGUUUCAAUGGUGUAAUUUUAAUUUAUGUGAUUUCAAUUCUGCAUUGCUCUAUGUAAUUUGUUUGAAUUUUCAAUCCAACUGUUCAACAUGCAAGUAUCUCUGACACUCUUCACGUGAUCAUAAUUUUCUAUCACACAUUUUCUGACAUUUCACAUGCACACUUUAAUCUCACUGACAUUCACAUGCACACUUUAAUCUCUAUCAUUCACAUCCACACUUAAUAAUUGUCCUGCCAUUUCACAUGCAUCCAAAUCUCUAUCAUUCACAUGCACACUUAAUAAUUUUAUCACUGCAUUUAUUUUUCUAUAUAACAUACCUCAUAUCCAGUACCUAACUCAUUCUAAUGCCAAAAUGUCUUCUUCAUCUUCAUCUUCAGAUGAAUGGAAAGAACGACGUUAUCAACAAAAUCGUCAAAUUGAUCGCAUUAUUGACGAUAUGCUCAUAAACAAUCCCAAUCUUAUUUUAGGAACUUCUUCUUCCACCACCAAUCUUAUUGACGAUAUGCUCAUAAACAAUCCCAAUCUGAUUUCGCAUGCAAAAAUCAUUGUUUCUUCGUAUAAUAGAUGUUGUUACUGCUAACGAUGAAUAUUUUCAACAGAGACCCGAUUGCACUGGUAGGCAAGGCCUUUCACCACUACAAAAAUGCACUGGAGCUAUGAGGGUGUUGGCUUAUGGAACCGCAACCGAUGCCGUUUAUGAAUAUUUACGAAUGAGUUCAAUAGUCACGAGGGAUGCUGUCAUUCAUUUCGUAGAAGGUAUCAUUUCUUGCUUUGGUGACACAUACCUUAGAAGGCCCAAUCAACAAGAUUUGCAAAGACUACUCUAUGAUGGAGAACAACGUGGUUUCCCCAGCAUGAUUGGAAAUAUUGAUUGCAUGCAUUGGGAAUGAAAGAACUGUCAUACUGCCUGGGCUGGUCAAUAUGCAGGAAGAAGUGGAAAACCAACAAUCAUUUUGGAAGCCGUUGCAUCAUAUGAUUUAUGGAUAUGGCAUGCGUUCUUUGGAACUCCAGGUUCGUGCAAUGAUAUCAAUGUACUUCAUCGAUCUCCCGUUUUUAGUGAUAUUUUAGAAGGUAGAGCACCUAUUAUAAGUUAUGUGGUCAAUGGUCGUCAAAAUGAUAGAUCUUAUUAUCUCACUGAUGACAUAUAUCCCUCUUGGGCUGCAUUUGUCAAGACAAUUUCAAGUCCAGUGCUCCGAAAGCACAAGUUGUUCGCUCAACACCAAGAGGCUGUAAGAAAAGAUGUCGAGAUAGCCUUCGGAGUUCUACAAGCUCGAUUUGCAUUUAUUCGACGUCCUUGUCUCAUUUGGGAUAUGAUUUUGAUCGGAAAAAUUAUGAUGACUUGUAUCAUCAUGCACAAUAUAAUAGUGGAAAAUGAACGAGACACAUACCAGAACUAUUAUGAUCCCACAGAAUUUUUGAUGGAUUUACCUGCAGAUGAAGAUGCAUCUAUUCACUACUCAACUGACAAAAUUGCAAGUUUGUCUAAUUACAUGAUCAACAGGGAUCAAUUUCGCAAUCGCGAAGCUCACAAAGCUCUUCAGAAGGACUUAAUUGAGCAUAUAAGGGCAAAAUUUGGCACGACUAAUUGAAUAUGUAAUUUGCAUCUAUUGUACUUGUAAUUUUAAUUUCCUAUAUGUAUUUGUAAUUUAUUUUAUGUAUUUUUAAUUUUGUUUUACUCGUGUAAUUUUUAUUGUAUGAUCAAGUAAAUUUUAAAUUUUAUUUAUUUAUUUAUUUAUUAUUUUUCUCUAUUAUUUUAAUUUUUAAAAUAUAUUUAAAAAUUAUUGUGACUAAUAAGAAUAAAAAAGAUAUUUAAGUCAUGUGAGUGUCACUAAUGGGAGUAGAUUUAAGAUAAAGGUUAGGAUGUGUAUGUGGAAGAGAGAUAAAUAAAUAUUUUAAUGGAAGGUUAGGUUGAGGAAAAGUCACGGAGAUAGUCUAAACAAGAUGCAACACCAAAAAAUGAAAAUCUACCUAAAACUUUACUUAAAACUUUGGUUUAAGCACCAUUUUAUGUAAAUAAUCAUAGAUCCACACACUUUAUGCCAUAAACACGAAAAAUUGAAAACUGAAG
Molecule: long non-coding RNA, 3642 nt
Filed under: Salvia miltiorrhiza (redroot sage)
Lineage: Eukaryota; Viridiplantae; Streptophyta; Magnoliopsida; Lamiales; Lamiaceae
Description: long non-coding RNA (SMIL_LNC006984)
Source: RNAcentral